GCCUUCGUGGUGUAACGGUAACGCACUCGAUGCGUAUUCGAGAGGUCCAGGUUCGAGUCCCGGCGAGAGCA
This is a non-coding RNA of Stegodyphus mimosarum, 71 nucleotides long. The record is from Rfam. NCBI's taxonomy places the organism in Eukaryota, Metazoa, Arthropoda, Arachnida, Araneae, Eresidae.